RNAcentral lists this ribosomal RNA (324 nucleotides) under Mycoplasma haemofelis. RNAcentral's name for it is "bacterial SSU rRNA". It matches the Rfam family "Bacterial small subunit ribosomal RNA", at positions 116 to 439 of the family's 1533-position model. Lineage: Bacteria; Bacillati; Mycoplasmatota; Mollicutes; Mycoplasmatales; Mycoplasmataceae. The record is from RNAcentral.
CAUAUCUAACAUGCCCCUCUGUGGGGGAUAGCCGCUUGAAAAAGCGAUUAAUACCCCAUAGGAAGCUUUAUCUAUGAUUUAGCUUUUAAAGCCUUCGGGCGCUGAGGGAUUGGGAUAUGCUCUAUUAGCUAGUUGGCGGGAUAAAAGCCCACCAAGGCAAUGAUAGAUAGCUGGUCUUAGAGGAUGAACAGCCACAAUGGGAUUGAGAUACGGCCCAUAUUCCUACGGGAAGCAGCAGUAGGGAAUCUUCCACAAUGGACGAAAGUCUGAUGGAGCAAUACCAUGUGAACGAUGAAGGCCUUUUUGGUUGUAAAGUUCUUUUAC